RNAcentral lists this ribosomal RNA (460 nucleotides) under uncultured bacterium. RNAcentral's name for it is "partial 16S ribosomal RNA". It matches the Rfam family "Bacterial small subunit ribosomal RNA", at positions 338 to 795 of the family's 1533-position model. The record is from RNAcentral.
CCUACGGGUGGCAGCAGUGAGGAAUAUUGGUCAAUGGACGAGAGUCUGAACCAGCCAAGUAGCGUGAAGGAUGACUGCCCUAUGGGUUGUAAACUUCUUUUAUAAAGGAAUAAAACGAGGCACGUGUGCCUUUUUGCAUGUACUUUAUGAAUAAGGAUCGGCUAACUCCGUGCCAGCAGCCGCGGUAAUACGGAGGAUCCGAGCGUUAUCCGGAUUUAUUGGGUUUAAAGGGAGCGUAGAUGGGUUGUUAAGUCAGUUGUGAAAGUUUGCGGCUCAACCGUAAAAUUGCAAUUGAUACUGGCAGUCGUGAGUACAGUUGAGGUAAGCGGAAUUCGUGGGGUAGCGGUGAAAUGCUUAGAUAUCACGAAGAACCCCGAUUGCGAAGGCAGCUUACUAAACUGUGACUGACAUUGAUGCUCGAAAGUGUGGGUAUCAAACAGGAUUAGAUACCCGGGUAGUC